This 732-nucleotide ribosomal RNA is filed under the name Triticum aestivum (bread wheat). RNAcentral describes it as "partial small subunit ribosomal RNA". Lineage: Eukaryota; Viridiplantae; Streptophyta; Magnoliopsida; Poales; Poaceae. The record is from RNAcentral.
AUGCUUGAGACUUGUUGGAGUAUCGAGAUUCAUGGUAGAGAUGUGUAUACUCAUGAGGUUUUUGCUGAAUUUCAACGUCAGGUGGUGGCUGCAAGGGAUUAUUGUCAUGUUAAAUCAAUCGUGCAGGUUGGUGAGGUCCGGACCAUUGGUAUUAGCAGCAAGAGUGGCAAGGUUAGAGUAGUUAAUUUCAACACUAGUACCAAGGCAACACACUGUUCUUGUAGGAUGUUCGAAUCACUGGGUAUCAUCUGCCGUCACAUCAUUGUUGUCCUAAAGAAUGAGGGGUGUAAUGAAAUUCCUAGUCAAUAUGUGUUGCAUAGGUGGACUAAAAUGGUUGCACGUCAGCUUUCCUAUGAUGCCAACGGACAUGAGCUAGAAGGCCCAUCUACAUGUCUUUCACCUACCAUAAAAAAGUUGUACUCGGAAACAUGUUCAAAAUUCAGCUUGGCACUUCAUGUAGCGAAACAUUGUGAGGACAAAAUGAGAUAUUUUCACAAGGUUGUUGCUGAUGCCUUCACGCAAUUGGGACAGAUGGGUGCCAUUAGUGAGCAAAGUAAAGUUCAAGAAUUUGAAUCCUUCGUUGGAACAUCAUUCCCAAGUGUGAUCAAUAUUCAUCCACCAGAUGUAGCGAACACAAAAGGGACUGGUAAGAGAUUGAAAAGGGGCUCAGAACAGACUGUGAACCAAAAGAAAAAGAGGGCAAAUAGCAUCCAAAAGGUCCCAGAUAAGUAG